UACGUAGGGUGCGAGCGUUAAUCGGAAUUACUGGGCGUAAAGGGUGUGCAGGCGGCUGAGUAAGACAGAUGUGAAAUCCCUCGGCUUAACUGAGGAACUGCAACUAAAACUGAUUUUCUUGAGUACUGGAGAGGAAAGUGGAAUUCCUAGUGUAGCGGUGAAAUGCGUAGAUAUUAGGAGGAACACCAGUGGCGAAGGCGACCUUCUGGACAGUAACUGACGUUGAGGCACGAAAGUGUGGGGAGCAAACAGG
Molecule: ribosomal RNA, 253 nt
Filed under: uncultured Eubacteriales bacterium
Lineage: Bacteria; Bacillati; Bacillota; Clostridia; Eubacteriales
Description: uncultured Clostridiales bacterium partial 16S ribosomal RNA
Rfam family: Bacterial small subunit ribosomal RNA
Source: RNAcentral